RNAcentral lists this ribosomal RNA (499 nucleotides) under uncultured bacterium. RNAcentral's name for it is "partial 16S ribosomal RNA". It matches the Rfam family "Bacterial small subunit ribosomal RNA", at positions 355 to 842 of the family's 1533-position model. The record is from RNAcentral.
UGGGGAAUAUUGCACAAUGGGCGCAAGCCUGAUGCAGCCAUGCCGCGUGUGUGAAGAAGGCCUUCGGGUUGUAAAGCACUUUCAGCGAGGAGGAAGGUGGUGGACUUAAUACGUUCAUCAAUUGACGUUACUCGCAGAAGAAGCACCGGCUAACUCCGUGCCAGCAGCCGCGGUAAUACGGAGGGUGCAAGCGUUAAUCGGAAUUACUGGGCGUAAAGCGCACGCAGGCGGUUUGUUAAGUCAGAUGUGAAAUCCCCGGGCUCAACCUGGGAACUGCAUUUGAAACUGGCAAGCUAGAGUCUCGUAGAGGGGGGUAGAAUUCCAGGUGUAGCGGUGAAAUGCGUAGAGAUCUGGAGGAAUACCGGUGGCGAAGGCGGCCCCCCUGGACGAAGACUGACGCUCAGGUGCGAAAGCGUGGGGCAGCAAACAGGAUUAGAUACCCUGGUAGUCCACGCUGUAAACGAUGUCGAUUUUGGAGGUUGUGCCCCUUGAGGCGUGG